Neopelma chrysocephalum (saffron-crested tyrant-manakin) is the source of this 157-nucleotide long non-coding RNA. RefSeq lists it as uncharacterized. Lineage: Eukaryota; Metazoa; Chordata; Aves; Passeriformes; Pipridae. The transcript is spliced from 3 exons. The record is from RefSeq and is a predicted model, not a curated record.
UGUUAUAGAUAGUGUGUCUCCAGACCUCCCGAUUGGAGGCCAGAGUAGACCAGUUAUGUUGAUCAAUAUGGCCAAGGUUGAGGUGUUGUUUCAGGGAUUCCUUGUAUCUUUUCUUCGGGGUUCCUCUCAUGCGGCAGCCGGAGGCUAGAUCACCGUA